Molecule: ribosomal RNA, 406 nt
Filed under: uncultured bacterium
Lineage: Bacteria
Description: partial 16S ribosomal RNA
Rfam family: Bacterial small subunit ribosomal RNA
Source: RNAcentral
AUUGAACGCUGGCGGCAGGCCUAACACAUGCAAGUCGAACGAGUGGCGGACGGGUGAGUUAUGUCUGUGCCACUGCCCGAUGGAGGGGGAUAACUAAUGGACACGGUAGCUAAUACCGCCUACCCUCGGAUGUGCCCAGAUGGGAUUAGCUAGUAGGUGGGGUAACGGCUCACCUAGGCGACGAUCCCUAGCUGGUCUGAGAGGAGGACCAGCAACACUGGAACUGAGAAACGGUCCAGACUCCUACGGGAGGCAGCAGGGGGGAAUAUUGCACAAUGGGCGCAAGCCUGAUGCAGCCAUGCCGCGUGUAUGAAGAAGGCCUUCGGGUUGUAAAGUACUUUAAGCGAGGAGGCGUUACUCGCAGAAGAAGCACCGGCUAACUCCGUGCCAGCAGCCGCGGUAAUAC